RNAcentral lists this ribosomal RNA (459 nucleotides) under uncultured bacterium. RNAcentral describes it as "partial 16S ribosomal RNA". It matches the Rfam family "Bacterial small subunit ribosomal RNA", at positions 338 to 795 of the family's 1533-position model. The record is from RNAcentral.
CCUACGGGUGGCAGCAGUGAGGAAUAUUUUUCAAUUUCCUUUAUUCUUAACCCGCCCCGUCGCGUGCGGGAAGACGGCCCUACGGGUUGUAAACCUCUUUUGUCAGGGAGCAAGGUGCAGGUCGGGACCUGCUGUGAGAGUACCUGAAGAAAAAGCAUCGGCUAACUCCGUGCCAGCAGCCGCGGUAAUACGGAGGAUGCGAGCGUUAUCCGGAUUUAUUGGGUUUAAAGGGUGCGCAGGCGGAGGCACAAGUCAGCGGUAAAAUCGCGGGGCUCAACCCCGCUCCGCCGUUGAAACUGUGUCCCUUGAGUGCGCGAAGGGUAGGCGGAAUGCGUGGUGUAGCGGUGAAAUGCAUAGAUAUCACGCAGAACUCCGAUCGCGAAGGCAGCCUACCGGCGCGCAACUGACGCUCAUGCACGAAAGCGUGGGUAUCGAACAGGAUUAGAUACCCCUGUAGUC